UUGAAUAAACCUGAUGUGACUGUUAGCUGGCUUUUCGAAGCAUGUGCUCGUCCAUCAUCUUUAAUCUCUCCACCUGUGCACAUUUUGUAGUCUUGGAUACCUCUCGAGGCAACUCGGAUUUUAGGAUCGCCGUCGGCUUUUCUUUCAUUUUCAAGACUAUGUUCUUAUAUACACCAUAGUAUGUUUAAAGAAUGUCAUCAAUAGGAACUUGUUUCCUAUAAAAUUAUA
This 228-nucleotide unclassified non-coding RNA is filed under the name uncultured Laccaria. RNAcentral's name for it is "sequence contains ITS1". The record is from RNAcentral. Lineage: Eukaryota; Fungi; Basidiomycota; Agaricomycetes; Agaricales; Tricholomataceae.